CCUACGGGGGGCUGCAGUGGGGAAUAUUGGACAAUGGGGGCAACCCUGAUCCAGCCAUGCCGCGUGUGUGAAGAAGGCCCUCGGGUUGUAAAGCACUUUCAGUGAGGAAGAACGCCUGGUGGUUAAUACCCAUCAGGAAAGACAUCACUCACAGAAGAAGCACCGGCUAACUCCGUGCCAGCAGCCGCGGUAAUACGGAGGGUGCGAGCGUUAAUCGGAAUUACUGGGCGUAAAGCGCGCGUAGGUGGCUUGAUAAGCCGGUUGUGAAAGCCCCGGGCUCAACCUGGGAACGGCAUCCGGAACUGUCAAGCUAGAGUGCAGGAGAGGAAGGUAGAAUUCCCGGUGUAGCGGUGAAAUGCGUAGAGAUCGGGAGGAAUACCAGUGGCGAAGGGGGCCUUCUGGACUGACACUGACACUGAGGUGCGAAAGCGUGGGUAGCAAACAGGAUUAGAUACCCUAGUAGUC
RNAcentral lists this ribosomal RNA (465 nucleotides) under Vreelandella stevensii. RNAcentral describes it as "partial 16S ribosomal RNA". It matches the Rfam family "Bacterial small subunit ribosomal RNA", at positions 338 to 795 of the family's 1533-position model. Lineage: Bacteria; Pseudomonadati; Pseudomonadota; Gammaproteobacteria; Oceanospirillales; Halomonadaceae. The record is from RNAcentral.